Molecule: ribosomal RNA, 317 nt
Filed under: uncultured bacterium
Lineage: Bacteria
Description: bacterial SSU rRNA
Rfam family: Bacterial small subunit ribosomal RNA
Source: RNAcentral
GAUGAACGCUAGCGACAGGCUUAACACAUGCAAGUCGAGGGGCAGCGGGGGAGUAGCAAUACUCCCGCCGGCGACCGGCGCACGGGUGAGUAACACGUAUGAAACCUGCCCGUAGCAGGGGGAUAAGCGGAAGAAAUUCCGUCUAAUACCGCGUAACAACCCAUGGAGGCAUCUCCGUGGGUUUAAAGGAAGCGAUUCCGGCUACGGAUGGUCAUGCGUCGCAUUAGCUAGUUGGCGGGGUAACGGCCCACCAAGGCGACGAUCAGUAGCCGGACUGAGAGGUUGGCCGGCCACAUUGGGACUGAGACACGGCCCAG